ACGACUCUCGGCAACGGAUAUCUCGGCUCUCGCAUCGAUGAAGAACGCAGCGAAAUGCGAUACUUGGUGUGAAUUGCAGAAUCCCGUGAACCAUCGAGUUUUUGAACGCAAGUUGCGCCCAAAGCCUUUCUGGCUGAGGGCACGUCUGCCUGGGUGUCACGCAACAU
Molecule: ribosomal RNA, 167 nt
Filed under: Croton lucidus
Lineage: Eukaryota; Viridiplantae; Streptophyta; Magnoliopsida; Malpighiales; Euphorbiaceae
Also listed under: 3 other names
Description: 5.8S ribosomal RNA
Rfam family: 5.8S ribosomal RNA
About the family: 5.8S ribosomal RNA (5.8S rRNA) is a component of the large subunit of the eukaryotic ribosome. It is transcribed by RNA polymerase I as part of the 45S precursor that also contains 18S and 28S rRNA.
Source: RNAcentral